AACGAACGCUGGCGGCAUGCCUAACACAUGCAAGUCGAACGAGACCUUCGGGUCUAGUGGCGCACGGGUGCGUAACGCGUGGGAACCUGCCCUUAGGUUCGGAAUAACUCCCCGAAAGGGGUGCUAAUACCGGAUAAUGUCUUCGGACCAAAGAUUUAUCGCCUUUGGAUGGGCCCGCGUUGGAUUAGCUAGUUGGUAGGGUAAAAGCCUACCAAGGCGACGAUCCAUAGCUGGUCUGAGAGGAUGAUCAGCCACACUGGGACUGAGACACGGCCCAGACCCCUCGGGGGGGGAGCAGGGGGGAAUUUUGGACAUUGGGCAAAAGCCUGUUCCGGCAAUGCCCGGGGAGUGAUGAGGGCCUUGGGUUUUUAAAGCUUUUUUCCCCGGGAUGGAAAUGAAGGUCCCGGGAAAAUAAGCCCCGGCUAACCCCGU
This 432-nucleotide ribosomal RNA is filed under the name uncultured bacterium. RNAcentral's name for it is "partial 16S ribosomal RNA". It matches the Rfam family "Bacterial small subunit ribosomal RNA", at positions 29 to 506 of the family's 1533-position model. The record is from RNAcentral.